GUCCACGCAGUAAACGAUGAAUACUAGCUGUUGGCGAUAUAAUGUCAGCGGUAAAGCGAAAGUGUUAAGUAUUCCACCUGGGGAGUACGCCGGCAACGGUGAAACUCAAAGGAAUUGACGGGGGCCCGCACAAGCGGAGGAACAUGUGGUUUAAUUCGAUGAUACGCGAGGAACCUUACCCGGGGCUUGAAAGUUAGUGAAUGACUUGGAAACAGGUCAGUCCUUGGGACACGAAACUAGGUGCUGCAUGGUUGUCGU
RNAcentral lists this ribosomal RNA (258 nucleotides) under uncultured bacterium. Its description in RNAcentral is "partial 16S ribosomal RNA". It matches the Rfam family "Bacterial small subunit ribosomal RNA", at positions 793 to 1055 of the family's 1533-position model. The record is from RNAcentral.